RNAcentral lists this ribosomal RNA (449 nucleotides) under uncultured bacterium. RNAcentral describes it as "bacterial SSU rRNA". It matches the Rfam family "Bacterial small subunit ribosomal RNA", at positions 331 to 797 of the family's 1533-position model. The record is from RNAcentral.
CCAGACUCCUACGGGAGGCAGCAGUAGGGAAUAUUGCUCAAUGGGGGGAACCCUGAUCCAGCGACGCCGCGUGAGUGAAGAAGUAUUUCGGUAUGUAAAGCUCUGUCAGCAGGGAAGAAAGCAAUGACGGUACCUGACCAAGAAGCCCCGGCUAACUACGUGCCAGCAGCCGCGGUAAUACGUAGGGGGCAAGCGUUGUCCGGAAUUACUGGGUGUAAAGGGAGCGUAGACGGCUGUGCAAGUCUGGAGUGAAAGGCGGGGGCCCAACCCCCGGACUGCUCUGGAAACUGUAUGGCUGGAGUGCAGGAGAGGUAAGCGGAAUUCCUAGUGUAGCGGUGAAAUGCGUAGAUAUUAGGAGGAACACCAGUGGCGAAGGCGGCUUACUGGACUGUAACUGACGUUGAGGCUCGAAAGCGUGGGGAGCAAACAGGAUUAGAUACCCGAGUACA